UACACUGUGACAGACUACUCCUAGAAAUUUUAUGACAUCAAUGUCUUUUUUGUGGUCAGUCUAAUCUAAAGACCUGUGUGAUGUUUAGUUGUGAAGAUCUUGAGUUUUUGUUAAAAGGUGUGUCCAUGGCGCCGUGAUGAAGUUCGAUGUCUCGCCAUGGGAAUAAAAGAUGUUAUAACUCAGGCAUAAAAUGUCCGAUCUUGCCCAAACUUCACUUGUGUGAUAAGGGUCCUGGCCUGAACAGAUCUGAAGGCCAAUAUUCCAUCGAGUGUGGCAAAAUGGCUCAAUAGCGCCACCUAUACACUUUCAACGGAGUGCGUAUACACUUUAAACGGAGUGCGCCUUGAGCUAUGUUUCACGUACAUGUACAAAAAUCGGUACACACAUGUAACACACCGAUAUCUAUGAAAAAGUCUCUUGGUACGAAGUCCGAAUCCCAACAGGAAGUCAGUUAUUUCGAAUUUUCUCUGCAAAAUUAGUGUUGUUUUGGCCAUUUUCAGGGGUUGUACUUUAAAGAACUCCUCCUAGAUAUUUAUUCAGAUCAACACCAAACUUGGUCAGUGUAAUCUAAAGCCUUUUGCGAUCUUAAAUUGCGAAGAUCUUGAGGUUUCGUUAAAGGGCGUGUCCAUGGCGGCCUGACAAAUUUCAUUGUUUCGCCAUGAAAUAGGAUGUUGUUGUAACUCAGGCAUAAAGUGUCCAAUCCUCCCCAAACCUCACAUGUUCGAUAAAAGUCCUGCCCUGAACACAUCUGAAGGCCAAUAUUCCAUUAUAAUGAUAGCGCCACCUGCUGGCAACAGGAAGAUUGGCACAUAUAUGGAAUAAACAUUGAUAUAUUCUACUUAUAUUUAUGAGUUUAAACGCAUAUUUCUCACCGUUCACCUAUUAACUAAAGCCACUCGCUGCCGGUGAGCCCGGGUGCGAGGGCCCGUUCAUCGCUGCUUGCAGCUUUAA
Molecule: long non-coding RNA, 951 nt
Organism: Carassius gibelio (silver crucian carp)
Lineage: Eukaryota; Metazoa; Chordata; Actinopteri; Cypriniformes; Cyprinidae
Exons: 3
Source: RefSeq, a predicted model, not a curated record